Molecule: ribosomal RNA, 251 nt
Filed under: uncultured prokaryote
Description: partial 16S ribosomal RNA
Rfam family: Bacterial small subunit ribosomal RNA
Source: RNAcentral
ACGUAGGGGGCAAGCGUUGUCCGGAAUCAUUGGGCGUAAAGAGCUCGUAGGCGGCUCAGUAAGUCGCUGUGAAAUGCCGAGGCUCAACCUCGGAACCGCAGUCGAUACUGCUGUGGCUAGAGUCCGGUAGAGGCAAGUGGAAUUCCGGGUGUAGUGGUGAAAUGCGUAGAGAUCCGGAGGAACCCCGGUGGCGAAGGCGACUUGCUGGGCCUGAACUGACGCUCAGACGCGAAAGCAUGGGGAGCGAACGG